This 23-nucleotide ribosomal RNA is filed under the name Chelon labrosus (thicklip grey mullet). The record is from RNAcentral. Lineage: Eukaryota; Metazoa; Chordata; Actinopteri; Mugiliformes; Mugilidae.
GCUUACGGCCAUACCAGCCUGGA